AUGUAUGCACCCAAGAAUCAAGGAGGAAUGGCCUUUUGUGAUAUCCACUGUUUCAAUUUGGCUACACUCGGUAAACAGGCUUGGUGUCUCAUUGAGAAUUCAGAUUCUCUAUGUGCUACCAUUUUGAGAGUCGAAUACUAUCCUGGCAGUGACUUGUUCAACACUAAUCUAAAGGAGGGCUCUUCCUUCACCUAGCAAAUAUUAUGA
Molecule: ribosomal RNA, 207 nt
Filed under: Triticum aestivum (bread wheat)
Lineage: Eukaryota; Viridiplantae; Streptophyta; Magnoliopsida; Poales; Poaceae
Description: partial small subunit ribosomal RNA
Source: RNAcentral